RNAcentral lists this ribosomal RNA (320 nucleotides) under uncultured Prevotella sp. RNAcentral's name for it is "partial 16S ribosomal RNA". Lineage: Bacteria; Pseudomonadati; Bacteroidota; Bacteroidia; Bacteroidales; Prevotellaceae. The record is from RNAcentral.
GGAGUUUGGUCCGUGUCUCAGUACCAAUGUGGGGGACCUUCCUUUCAGAACCCCUACUGAUCGUUGCCCCGGUGGGCCGUUACCCCGCCGGCAAGCUAAUCAGACGCAUCCCCAUCCCAUAGCGGUGAACCUUUGGUAUUCCUCAGAUGUCAUCGAAAUACAACAUAGAGCAUUAAUCCGACUUUCGCCGGGCUAUUCUCUACUAUGGGGAAGGUUGGAUACGCGUUACUCACCCGUGCGCCGGUCGCCAUCAAUCAAAGCAAGCUUUGAUCAUGCUGCCCCUCGACUUGCAUGUGUUAAGCCUGUAGCUAGCGUUCAUC